This 1171-nucleotide non-coding RNA is filed under the name Caenorhabditis japonica. Its description in RNAcentral is "Eukaryotic large subunit ribosomal RNA". It matches the Rfam family "Eukaryotic large subunit ribosomal RNA", at positions 974 to 2089 of the family's 3401-position model. The record is from Rfam by way of RNAcentral. Lineage: Eukaryota; Metazoa; Nematoda; Chromadorea; Rhabditida; Rhabditidae.
CAGGAUAGCUGGAACUCUUGCAGUUAUAUUCGGUAAAGCUAAUGAUUAGAGGCCUUGGGGACGUAAUGUCCUCAACCUAUUCUCAAACUUUCAAUGGAUAUGGCGUCGCAGUUUCUUUAGUGAACUGCGGCGUGAAUGCGAGUUCCAAGUGGGCCAUUUUUGGUAAGCAGAACUGGCGCUGUGGGAUGAACCAAACGUGGAGUUAAGGUGCCUAACUUCUCGCUUAUGAGACCCCAUAAAAGGUGUUGGUUGAUAUUGACAGCAGGACGGUGGCCAUGGAAGUCGGUACCCGCUAAGGAGUGUGUAACAACUCACCUGCCGAAUCAACUAGCCCUGAAAAUGGAUGGCGCUUAAGCGAGAGACCUAUACUCCGCCGUCGCGGCAUGUGCGUUGUCUAGCGCCAGGUCGCGACGAGUAGGAAGGACGUGGCGGUUGCGUUGAAGGCUAUGAGCGUAGGCUUCGGCUGGAGCUUCCGUCAGUGCAGAUCGUAAAUGGUAGUAGCAAAUAUUACAAGUUCGAUCCUUUGAAGACUGAAAGUGGAGAAAGGGUUCCACGUGACAAGUAGUUGGAAUGUGGGUCAGUCGAUCCUAAGGUUACUGGCGAAAAGCCUUGUAUCAUCGGUGGCGAAAAAGCUUGCUUUUUGUCCCCGCCCGUCGAAAGGGAAUAGGGUUAAUAUUCCCUAACUGAGAUGCAAAGAUUGUGUUCUUCGGAGCACAAGCGCGGUAACGCGUUCGAACUUGGUAAGUCGCUCAGAGACCGAGCUAGAGUUUUCUUCUCUAGUUAAGGAACGGACUCCCUGGAAUUGGUUCAGCCAGAGAUGGGGACGUUGUUUCCGAAAAGCACCGCGGUUUCUGUGGUGUCUCGUGCUCUCUGAACGGCCCUUUAAACACCAAGGGAGGCUAUUAAUUUGCACUCAAUCGUACCGAUAUCCGCAUUAGGUCUCCAAGGUGAACAGCCUCUAGUCGAUAGAAUAAUGUAGGUAAGGGAAGUCGGCAAACUAGAUCCGUAACUUCGGGAAAAGGAUUGGCUCCAGUGGUCGGAACGGUUGGCCAGUUGGUUGAUGCUUGUCCGGCGCUGUUCUGUCUGCUUGAUGCUUUCGGGCUGAUGGCGGCCUAGUGAUAGUGCUUGCUUGUUGACGCUUUCUGGUGUGUGCUUUGACCUCGGUCUUAGU